This 786-nucleotide ribosomal RNA is filed under the name uncultured bacterium. Its description in RNAcentral is "bacterial SSU rRNA". It matches the Rfam family "Bacterial small subunit ribosomal RNA", at positions 8 to 796 of the family's 1533-position model. The record is from RNAcentral.
AGAGUUUGAUCAUGGCUCAGAACGAACGCUGGCGGCGUGCUUAACACAUGCAAGUCGAGUGCGCGGUUGUAGCAAUACAACUGGCGCACGGCGCACGGGUGCGUAACACGUGGGCAAUCUGCCCUUCGAUGGGGAAUAACUCCGGGAAACCGGAGCUAAUUCCGCAUAACAUUCCUUGGACCUCGGUUCGAGGACUCAAAGCCGUAAGGCGUCGAAGGAGGAGCCCGCGCACGAUUAGCUAGUUGGUAGGGUAACGGCCUACCAAGGCUUUGAUCGUUAGCUGGUCUGAGAGGAUGGCCAGCCACACUGGAACUGAGACACGGUCCAGACUCCUACGGGAGGCAGCAGUGGGGAAUCUUGCACAAUGGGCGAAAGCCUGAUGCAGCGACGCCGCGUGGGGGAUGAAGCAUUUCGGUGUGUAAACCCCUUUCGACCCGGACGAAUGCCUCGCAAGAGGAGUGACGGUACGGGUAUAAGAAGCCCCGGCUAACUACGUGCCAGCAGCCGCGGUAAGACGUAGGGGGCCAGCGUUGUUCGGAAUUACUGGGUGUAAAGGGUUCGUAGGCGGUGUGGCAAGUUGGGAGUGAAAUCUCUGGGCUCAACCCAGAGGCUGCUUCCAAAACUGCUGUGCUUGAGUGUGGGAGAGGCGCGUGGAAUUGCAGGUGUAGCGGUGAAAUGCGUAGAUAUCUGCAGGAACACCCGUGGCGAAAGCGGCGCGCUGGACCACAACUGACGCUGAGGAACGAAAGCUAGGGGAGCAAACAGGAUUAGAUACCCUAGUAGUCC